Molecule: ribosomal RNA, 489 nt
Filed under: uncultured bacterium
Lineage: Bacteria
Description: bacterial SSU rRNA
Rfam family: Bacterial small subunit ribosomal RNA
Source: RNAcentral
AUUGAACGCUGGCGGCAGGCCUAACACAUGCAAGUCGAACGGUAACAGGAAGCAGCUUGCNGUUUGCUGACGAGUGGCGGACGGGUGAGUAAUGUCUGGGAAACUGCCUGAUGGAGGGGGAUAACUACUGGAAACGGUAGCUAAUACCGCAUAACGUCGCAAGACCAAAGAGGGGGACCUUAGGGCCUCUUGCCAUCGGAUGUGCCCAGAUGGGAUUAGCUAGUAGGUGGGGUAACGGCUCACCUAGGCGACGAUCCCUAGCUGGUCUGAGAGGAUGACCAGCCACACUGGAACUGAGACACGGUCCAGACUCCUACGGGAGGCAGCAGUGGGGAAUAUUGCACAAUGGGCGCAAGCCUGAUGCAGCCAUGCCGCGUGUAUGAAGAAGGCCUUCGGGUUGUAAAGUACUUUCAGCGGGGAGGAAGGGAGUAAAGUUAAUACCUUUGCUCAUUGACGUUACCCGCAGAAGAAGCACCGGCUAACUCCGUG